AUGGCCCCGAAUCAGACCAGUAGUUUUCUGAAGCUGUUGGUUUCAAGCAGGAGCCUAAACUGCUAUCUUUCUAUAGUCUGUUGUCUACUUCAGAACCUUGAAAUGUAAUGGUCAAUUCAUUAUAAAGGAACAACU
Molecule: small nucleolar RNA, 135 nt
Organism: Cavia porcellus (domestic guinea pig)
Lineage: Eukaryota; Metazoa; Chordata; Mammalia; Rodentia; Caviidae
Source: Ensembl